UUGGCCGGGCGACGGUUGUCCCGGUUUAAGCGUGUAGGUGUGUGUUCCAGGUAAAUCCGGUUCACUUUAACACUGAGGCGUGACGACGAGGCACUACGGUGCUGAAGCAACAAAUGCCCUGCUUCCAGGAAAAGCCUCUAAGCAUCAGGUAACAUCAAAUCGUACCCCAAACCGACACAGGUGGUCAGGUAGAGAAUACCAAGGCGCUUGAGAGAACUCGGGUGAAGGAACUAGGCAAAAUGGUGCCGUAACUUCGGGAGAAGGCACGCUGACACGUAGGUGAAGUGAUUUACUCACGGAGCUGAAGUCAGUCGAAGAUACCAGCUGGCUGCAACUGUUUAUUAAAAACACAGCACUGUGCAAACACGAAAGUGGACGUAUACGGUGUGACGCCUGCCCGGUGCCGGAAGGUUAAUUGAUGGGGUCAGCGCAAGCGAAGCUCCUGAUCGAAGCCCCGGUAAACGGCGGCCGUAACUAUAACGGUCCUAAGGUAGCGAAAUUCCUUGUCGGGUAAGUUCCGACCUGCACGAAUGGCGUAAUGAUGGCCAGGCUGUCUCCACCCGAGACUCAGUGAAAUUGAACUCGCUGUGAAGAUGCAGUGUACCCGCGGCAAGACGGAAAGACCCCGUGAACCUUUACUAUAGCUUGACACUGAACAUUGAGCCUUGAUGUGUAGGAUAGGUGGGAGGCUUUGAAGUGUGGACGCCAGUCUGCAUGGAGCCGACCUUGAAAUACCACCCUUUAAUGUUUGAUGUUCUAACGUGGACCCGUAAUCCGGGUUGCGGACAGUGUCUGGUGGGUAGUUUGACUGGGGCGGUCUCCUCCUAAAGAGUAACGGAGGAGCACGAAGGUUGGCUAAUCCUGGUCGGACAUCAGGAGGUUAGUGCAAUGGCAUAAGCCAGCUUGACUGCGAGCGUGACGGCGCGAGCAGGUGCGAAAGCAGGUCAUAGUGAUCCGGUGGUUCUGAAUGGAAGGGCCAUCGCUCAACGGAUAAAAGGUACUCCGGGGAUAACAGGCUGAUACCGCCCAAGAGUUCAUAUCGACGGCGGUGUUUGGCACCUCGAUGUCGGCUCAUCACAUCCUGGGGCUGAAGUAGGUCCCAAGGGUAUGGCUGUUCGCCAUUUAAAGUGGUACGCGAGCUGGGUUUAGAACGUCGUGAGACAGUUCGGUCCCUAUCUGCCGUGGGCGCUGGAGAACUGAGGGGGGCUGCUCCUAGUACGAGAGGACCGGAGUGGACGCAUCACUGGUGUUCGGGUUGUCAUGCCAAUGGCACUGCCCGGUAGCUAAAUGCGGAAGAGAUAAGUGCUGAAAGCAUCUAAGCACGAAACUUGCCCCGA
RNAcentral lists this ribosomal RNA (1337 nucleotides) under Salmonella enterica subsp. enterica serovar Corvallis. RNAcentral's name for it is "partial 23S ribosomal RNA". It matches the Rfam family "Bacterial large subunit ribosomal RNA", at positions 1487 to 2802 of the family's 2925-position model. The record is from RNAcentral. Lineage: Bacteria; Pseudomonadati; Pseudomonadota; Gammaproteobacteria; Enterobacterales; Enterobacteriaceae.